This is a small nucleolar RNA of Cervus hanglu yarkandensis (Yarkand deer), 134 nucleotides long. The record is from Ensembl. NCBI's taxonomy places the organism in Eukaryota, Metazoa, Chordata, Mammalia, Artiodactyla, Cervidae.
GCUGCCUUUGAGCCCUCGCCUCUGUGCAUGGUACCGACACCAGGAGUCAGGCUGCAGUGCCAGAUCACAUGCUUGGGCGUAACCGGGGUCGCUGGGCCCGCAGCAUCGCCCUUUUAACCAGGACUGCUGAGGGG